This is a long non-coding RNA of Physella acuta, 1788 nucleotides long. RefSeq lists it as uncharacterized. The record is from RefSeq and is a predicted model, not a curated record. Lineage: Eukaryota; Metazoa; Mollusca; Gastropoda; Physidae.
UGUGGUUGCUGUAGGUGUGUGGUUGCUGUAGGUGUGUGGUUGUUGUAGUUGAUCUAGUUGUGUGGUCGAUGUAGUUGUAUGCCAUAGUGCUGAUGUUGGUAUGUGGUUGCUGUAGGUGUGUGGUUGUUGUAGUUGAUCUAGUAGUGUGGUCGAUGUAGUUGUAUGCUGUAGUGCUGAUGUUGGUAUGUGGUUGUUGUAGGUGUGUGGUUGUUGUAGUUGAUCUAGUUGUGUGGUCGAUGUAGUUGUAUGCUGUAGUGCUGAUGUUGGUAUGUGGUUGUUGUAGGUGUGUGGUUGUUGUAGUUGAUCUAGUUGUGUGGUCGAUGUAGUUGUAUGCUAUAGUGCUGAAGUUGGUAUGUGGUUGCUAUAGGUGUGUGGUUGUUGUAGUUGAUCUAGUUGUGUGGUCGAUGUAGUUGUAUGCCAUAGUGCUGAUGUUGGUAUGUGGUUGCUGUAGGUGUGUGGUUGUUGUAGUUGAUCUAGUUGUGUGGUCGAUGUAGUUGUAUGCUGUAGUGCUGAUGUUGGUAUGUGGUUGUUGUAGGUGUGUGGUUGUUGUAGUUGAUCUAGUUGUGUGGUCGAUGUAGUUGUAUGCUGUAGUGCUGAAGUUGGUAUGUGGUUGCUGUAGGUGUGUGGUUGUUGUAGUUGAUCUAGUUGUGUGGUCGAUGUAGUUGUAUGCCAUAGUGCUGAUGUUGGUAUGUGGUUGCUGUAGGUGUGUGGUUGUUGUAGGUGUGUGGUUGUUGUAGUUGAUCUAGUUGUGUGGUCGAUGUAGUUGCAUGCCAUAGUGCUGAUGUUGGUAUGUGGUUGUUGUAGGUGUGUGGUUGUUGUAGUUGAUCUAGUUGUGUGGUCGAUGUAGUUGUAUGCUGUAGUGCUGAAGUUGGUAUGUGGUUGCUGUAGGUGUGUGGUUGUUGUAGUUGAUCUAGUUGUGUGGUCGAUGUAGUUGUAUGCCAUAGUGCUGAUGUUGGUAUGUGGUUGCUGUAGGUGUGUGGUUGUUGUAGGUGUGUGGUUGUUGUAGUUGAUCUAGUUGUGUGGUCGAUGUAGUUGCAUGCCAUAGUGCUGAUGUUGGUAUGUGGUUGUUGUAGGUGUGUGGUUGUUGUAGUUGAUCUAGUUGUGUGGUCGAUGUAGUUGUAUGCUGUAGUGCUGAAGUUGGUAUGUGGUUGCUGUAGGUGUGUGGUUGUUGUAGUUGAUCUAGUUGUGUGGUCGAUGUAGUUGUAUGCCAUAGUGCUGAUGUUGGUAUGUGGUUGCUGUAGGUGUGUGGUUGUUGUAGUUGUGUGGUUGCUGUAGGUGUGUGGUUGCUGUAGGUGUGUGGUUGUUGUAGGUGUGUGGUUGCUGUAGGUGUGUGGUUGUUGUAGGUGUGUGGUUGUUGUAGGUGUGGUUGUUGUAGUUGUGUGGUUGUUGUAGGUGUGGUUGUUGUAGUUGUGUGGUUGCUGUAGGUGUGUGGUUGCUGUAGGUGUGUGGUUGCUGUAGGUGUGGUUGUUGUAGGUGUGUGGUUGCUGUAGGUGUGUGGUUGUUGUAGGUGUGUGGUUGUUGUAGGUGUGGUUGUUGUAGUUGUGUGGUUGUUGUAGGUGUGGUUGUUGUAGUUGUGUGGUUGCUGUAGGUGUGUGGUUGCUGUAGGUGUGUGGUUGCUGUAGGUGUGGUUGUUGUAGUUGUGUGGUUGUUGUAGGUGUGGUUGUUGUAGUUGUGUGGUUGCUGUAGGUGUGUGGUUGCUGUAGGUGUGUGGUUGUUGUAGGUGUGUGGUUGUUGUAGGUGUGUGGUUGUUGUAGGUGUGUGGUUGCUGUAGGUGUGUGGUUGUUGUAG